UCAAGCGACCAAGGGCAUAAGGUGAAUGCCUUGGCACUGAGAGCCGAAGAAGGACGUGACAAGCUGCGAAAAGUCUCGGGGAGGAGCAAAUAUCCAUUGAUCCGGGAAUGUCCGAAUGGGGAAACCCACUUGAGCAAACCUCAAGUAUCUAGUUGUGAAUACAUAGCAACAAGAGGGAAAAGUUGGUGAACUGAAACAUCUAAGUAGCCAGACGAAAAGAAAGAAAAAAUUCGAUUUUCAAAGUAGCGGCGAGCGAAAUGGAAAGAGCCCAAAUUAAGUUAAGGAAGAGGUAAGAUAGUUGAAUGGUCUGGAAAGAUUCAACCGAAGAAAGUGAAAGUCUUGUAAACGAAAUCGAUCCGAAUCUGACUUUAAAAGAGUAGCAUGGGACACGAGAAAUCCUGUGUGAAUAUGGGGGGACCACCCCCUAAGGCUAAAUACUACUCAGUGACCGAUAGAGAAUAGUACCGUGAGGGAAAGGUGAAAAGAACCCCGGGAGGGGAGUGAAAUAGAACCUGAAACCUUAUGCCUACAAGCAGAUAGAGUCUUAAGAGAGAUGAUAUCGUACUUUUUGUAGAACGGGCCAGCGAGUUAUGGUGUGCGGCAAGGUUAAGUAAUGAAGUUACGGAGCCGUAGGGAAACCGAGUCUGAAUAGGGCGGAUGAGUCGUAUGCCAUAGACCCGAAACCAGGUGAUCUAUCCAUGAGCAGGUUGAAGUGAAAGUAAAAUUUCAUGGAGGACCGAACCGGGUAGCGUUUAAAAGCUAUCGGAUGACUUGUGGAUAGGGGUGAAAAGCCAAUCGAACUUGGAGAUAGCUGGUUCUCCUCGAAAUAGCUUUAGGGCUAGCCUCAAUUUAGUUUACAGGGGGUAGAGCACUGAAUACCGUAGGGGUGUUAGACAUUACCGAAAGUUAUCAAACUGCGAAUACCUGAUAAAUGAUGAUUGGGAGUCAGACUAUGUGGGAUAAGCUUCAUAGUCAAAAGGGAAAGAGCCCAGACCACCAGCUAAGGUCCCUAAAUAUAGAUUAAGUGGUAAAGGAUGUUUUACUACUCAGACAACCAGGAUGUUGGCUUAGAAGCAGCCAUACAUUUAAAGAGUGCGUAAUAGCUCACUGGUCAAGUGGUAGAGCGCCGAAAAUGAACGGGGCUAAAAUCUAAUACCGAAGCUGUGGACUAAUUAAAUUAGUGGUAGAGGAGCAUUGUGUAAGGGAUGAAGCUAAGCUGGAAGGCGAAGUGGACUUUACAGAAGAGAGAAUGCUGGCAUGAGUAGCGAAAAGGAGGGUGAGAAUCCCUCCCGUCGAAAGCCUAAGGAUUCCUGAGGAAGGCUCGUCCUCUCAGGGUAAGUCGGGACCUAAGCCCAGGCUGAAAAGCGUAAGCGAUGGACAACAGGUUGAGAUUCCUGUACUAUCUUUGAAUGUUUGAGAGAAGUACUGACGCAGGAGGAUAUGUUGAGCGUGUGAAUGGUAGAGCACGUCUAAGCAAGUAGGUAGAGAAUAGAGGCAAAUCCCUAUUCUUAAUAUCGAGAUGUGAUGGGGAGCGAAAAACAAGUAGUGAAGCAACAAAUUCCAAACUGCCAAGAAAAGGUACUAUUGAGUGAGAAGAUACCCGUACCAAAACCGACACAGGUAGGCAAGGAGAGAAUCCUAAGACGCGCGGAAGAACCUUUGUUAAGGAACUCGGCAAAAUGACCCCGUAACUUCGGGAGAAGGGGUACCAUUAGAUGUGAUAUACAUACGUAUGGAGCAUAGAGUGGUCGCAGAGAAUAGGCCCAAGCAACUGUUUACCAAAAACACAAGUCUCUGCUAAAUCGAAAGAUGAAGUAUAGGGGCUGACACCUGCCCGGUGCUGGAAGGUUAAGGGGAAAUGUAAGAGCAAUCGAAGCAUAGAACUUAAGCCCCAGUAAACGGCGGCCGUAACUAUAACGGUCCUAAGGUAGCGAAAUUCCUUGUCGGGUAAGUUCCGACCCGCACGAAAGGCGUAACGAUUUGGGCACUGUCUCAACGA
RNAcentral lists this ribosomal RNA (1999 nucleotides) under human metagenome. RNAcentral describes it as "bacterial LSU rRNA". It matches the Rfam family "Bacterial large subunit ribosomal RNA", at positions 3 to 2027 of the family's 2925-position model. The record is from RNAcentral.